This 505-nucleotide ribosomal RNA is filed under the name uncultured bacterium. Its description in RNAcentral is "partial 16S ribosomal RNA". It matches the Rfam family "Bacterial small subunit ribosomal RNA", at positions 28 to 507 of the family's 1533-position model. The record is from RNAcentral.
GACGAACGCUGGCGGCGUGCCUAAUACAUGCAAGUAGAACGCACAGUUUAUACCGUAGCUUGCUACACCAUAGACUGUGAGUUGCGAACGGGUGAGUAACGCGUAGGUAACCUGCCUGGCAGCGGGGGAUAACUAUUGGAAACGAUAGCUAAUACCUUAUAAUAUUAAUUAUUGCAUGAUAAUUAAUUGAAAGGUGCAAUUGCACCACUACCAGAUGGACCUGCGUUGUAUUAGCUAGUAGGUGAGGUAACGGCUCACCUAGUCGACGAUACAUAGCCGAACUGAGAGGGUGAUCGGCCACACUGGGACUGGGACAAGGCCCAGACUCCUAAGGGAGGCAGCAGGAGGGAAUCUUCGGGAAGAGACGAAAGUCUGAACGAGGAACGCCGCGGGAGUGAAGAAGGUUUUCGGAUCGUAAAGCUCUGUUGUAAGAGAAGAACGGGUGUGAGAGUGGAAAGUUCACACUGUGACGGUACCUUACCAGAAAGGGACGGCUAACUACGUG